AUACGUAGGGGGCGAGCGUUGUCCGGAAUUAUUGGGCGUAAAGGGUUCGUAGGCGGUAAUGCAUGUCAGCUGUGAAAUCUUGUGGCUUAACCACAUCAAGCAUCUGAAACUGCAUAACUUGAGUGAAGGAGAGGUAAGUGGAAUUCCUAGUGUAGCGGUGAAAUGCGUAGAUAUUAGGAAGAAUACCAGUAGCGAAGGCGACUUACUGGCCUUUAACUGACGCUGAUGAACGAAAGCGUGGGUAGCAAACAGGAUUAGAUACCCUGGUAGUCCACGCCGUAAACGAUGAGUGCUAGGUGUCGGGAGUCAAAUCUCGGUGCCGUAGUUAACGCAAUAAGCACUCCGCCUGGGGAGUACGUGCGCAAGCAUGAA
RNAcentral lists this ribosomal RNA (372 nucleotides) under uncultured bacterium. RNAcentral describes it as "bacterial SSU rRNA". It matches the Rfam family "Bacterial small subunit ribosomal RNA", at positions 523 to 898 of the family's 1533-position model. The record is from RNAcentral.